This 500-nucleotide ribosomal RNA is filed under the name uncultured bacterium. RNAcentral's name for it is "partial 16S ribosomal RNA". It matches the Rfam family "Bacterial small subunit ribosomal RNA", at positions 30 to 523 of the family's 1533-position model. The record is from RNAcentral.
AUUGAACGCUGGCGGAAUGCUUUACACAUGCAAGUCGAACGGCAGCACGGACUUCGGUCUGGUGGCGAGUGGCGAACGGGUGAGUAAUACAUCGGAACGUGCCCAAUCGUGGGGGAUAACGUAGCGAAAGCUACGCUAAUACCGCAUACGAUCUAAGGAUGAAAGCGGGAGAUCGCAAGACCUCGCGCGAUUGGAGCGGCCGAUGGCAGAUUAGGUAGUUGGUAGGGUAAAGGCCUACCAAGCCGACGAUCUGUAGCUGGUCUGAGAGGAUGAGCAGCCACACUGGGACUGAGACACGGCCCAGACUCCUACGGGAGGCAGCAGUGGGGAAUUUUGGACAAUGGACGCAAGUCUGAUCCAGCCAUUCCGCGUGCAGGAUGAAGGCCCUCAGGUUGUAAACUGCUUUUGUACAGAACGAAAAGGCUCUGGUUAAUACCUAGGGCUCAUGACGGUACUGUAAGAAUAAGCACCGGCUAACUACGUGCCAGCCGCCGCUGUAA